UCCUGUAAUAGGCCUGAGGGGCACAGG
This 27-nucleotide non-coding RNA is filed under the name Rattus norvegicus (Norway rat). The record is from RNAcentral. Lineage: Eukaryota; Metazoa; Chordata; Mammalia; Rodentia; Muridae.